GGCCUACACAUGCAAGUCGAGCGGUAGAGAGAAGCUUGCUUCUCUUGAGAGCGGCGGACGGGUGAGUAAUGCCUAGGAAUCUGCCUGGUAGUGGGGGAUAACGCUCGGAAACGGACGCUAAUACCGCAUACGUCCUACGGGAGAAAGCAGGGGACCUUCGGGCCUUGCGCUAUCAGAUGAGCCUAGGUCGGAUUAGCUAGUUGGUGAGGUAAUGGCUCACCAAGGCGACGAUCCGUAACUGGUCUGAGAGGAUGAUCAGUCACACUGGAACUGAGACACGGUCCAGACUCCUACGGGAGGCAGCAGUGGGGAAUAUUGGACAAUGGGCGAAAGCCUGAUCCAGCCAUGCCGCGUGUGUGAAGAAGGUCUUCGGAUUGUAAAGCACUUUAAGUUGGGAGGAAGGGCAGUUACCUAAUACGUAUCUGUUUUGACGUUACCGACAGAAUAAGCACCGGCUAACUCUGUGCCAGCAGCCGCGGUAAU
Molecule: ribosomal RNA, 483 nt
Filed under: uncultured bacterium
Lineage: Bacteria
Description: bacterial SSU rRNA
Rfam family: Bacterial small subunit ribosomal RNA
Source: RNAcentral